CACGUGAGCCUCCUCGCGCGGCCGCAUUACCCCUUCUCUAUCCAAUUUCUCUUUGGAGAAAUACUUCUCCACAGUGCCGCGUCUGAGUGGGAUGGUAAAUUCAAGGGCCAGCUCAGCUGUGAGGGGAGCUGGAGGGAUCCCCGAAUCUCCUUCCGCCAUCUUGAGCAAGGCUCCGAGGAGCUGCUUCUUGACUUUUCCAAGCUGGCUCUUCAGUCUUCCCUCCAAACUUGGGAGAUUUCCCAGAUUUUUCUAAUAUAUUACCCUAUGCUUUAUCUAGCCAGAGUUCAGCUUUUGUUUCUUGAAAUUGAAGACGCCUCCAUCUAUAAGAAAGAUUUACACCAGUGGUAGAAAAGAGUGGGAAGCAAGUCUUGUGGCGAGAUGGUGCCAUCCCGUAUUAAGAACUUUCGCAGCAGAAUGCCCAAAAUAUGUGGCAGGGUUGCGGUAAAGUCUUCAAAGCAGGCUGUUUCUCAGUCGCUGCGUGUGUUCAGUCAUGGGACUGUUUCCUUGGUAAGUGUCAUUCCUGCGGAAUGGGGCUGAACAAGGAACCUUCAGUUAUGUCAAAAACUGAUGAUUCCCACUGUCGCCACCAGAGGAUGUUCUAGGCACGUUUUUGUCAGCGCAGCUCACGUUGACUAAAAUAGCCAAUCCUUCCAACAGAAGUAGCAUAACGGCUCUGAGGAUGUGGAAAAUCUCAAUGUCAACAGCAGCUCGUAAAAUGGAAAAGAACAUGGCAUCAGCUAUGUGUUUAGAAAAGUCUGAGGCAUUUAGCCUAACUGUUCUUGAAUCAUUACCAUGAUACUGACAAGCAAAGUAUUUCUGAGGAACCUGUCGUAUUUAGGCCUUGACUGCAUGGCUAAUAGAGAAAAUAGCUUAGGCUACCCACACACCACAGUUCUUUUCAAGGUUUGGAAAGCAGCCAUUUUGGUUGAUACAUUUUUAAAAAUUAUUAUUUUAUUGCCUUAAUUCUUGUGCUGAGACUUGGGUAGGUAGAGACAAAGAAGAGAAAAAAGGAUUUUUUUUUAAAAGGGGAAUU
This 1033-nucleotide long non-coding RNA is filed under the name Homo sapiens (human). Its description in RNAcentral is "HSALNT0347129". The record is from RNAcentral. Lineage: Eukaryota; Metazoa; Chordata; Mammalia; Primates; Hominidae.